Molecule: non-coding RNA, 531 nt
Organism: Camellia sinensis
Lineage: Eukaryota; Viridiplantae; Streptophyta; Magnoliopsida; Ericales; Theaceae
Source: RefSeq, a predicted model, not a curated record
AAAAAGAAAGAAAAAAGCCACUGAGUUUCUAAGAAGAGAGGGAGACGUAGGUGAAGGCGAAAGGUUUCUUCAAACACUUCUUCAAUCAAUUGAAUCGGUGGAGACGUAGGUGAAGGGGAAAGGUCCAUUGAUGUAGUCCGCUUCCUUCCUUAGCAAAGCAAUCACGCUUUCCAUUGAGUCAAUUUGUAAUCUGCUUCGACUUGGACUUGGCUUCAAUUUGUAAUCUGCUUCGACUACUUCGACUGCUACGCAAUUUCUUAUAUUUGCGUAGGCCCUUUCAAGGUUCUUCAUAGCCACACGCUAAUUGGAUUGGGGUGGCAUUUUUGACGUGCAACAAUGAUGUAAUUUGCUUGAAUUUUCAUUUUUAUUUGAUAAGGAUACACAUAUUUUGUGAAGUUGCACUAGUUAUUGUUGGAUGUUUGGUGGAAUUGUACAAGUUAUAACUUUUGUAUAUUUUGUGGAUAUUACACUAUUUUAUUGUAUUAGGAUGAAAUUAUUUGUAAUGAUGAAUGGAUAUUUUCAUUUUGUUAA